UGACCACAAGUUCAACGGCCGCGGUAUUUUGACCGUGCAAAGGUAGCGCAAUCACUUGUCUUUUAAAUAGAGACCUGUAUGAAUGGCUAAACGAGGGCUUAACUGUCUCCCUUUUCAGGUCAGUGAAAUUGAUCUACCCGUGCAGAAGCGGGUAUAACAAUACAAGACGAGAAGACCCUUUGGAGCUUAAGGUACAAAACUCAACCACGUCAAGCAACUUAACAAAAAAUAAAAACUUUGUGAAACAUGAGAUUUUACCUUCGGUUGGGGCGACCGCGGAGGAGAAAAAAGCCUCCAAGUGGACCGGGACAAACUCCUAAAACCAAGAGAAACAUCUCUAAGCCACAGAACAUCUGACCAAACAUGAUCCGGCCACCAGGACCGAUCAACGAACCAAGUUACCCUAGGGAUAACAGCGCAAUCCCCUCCCAGAGUCCAUAUCGACGAGGGGGUUUACGACCUCGAUGUUGGAUCAGGACAUCCUAAUGGUGCAGCCGCUAUUAAGGGUUCGUUUGUUCAACGAUUAAAGUCCUACGUGAUC
RNAcentral lists this ribosomal RNA (541 nucleotides) under Tor tambroides (Thai mahseer). RNAcentral describes it as "partial 16S ribosomal RNA". It matches the Rfam family "Bacterial large subunit ribosomal RNA", at positions 1913 to 2605 of the family's 2925-position model. The record is from RNAcentral. Lineage: Eukaryota; Metazoa; Chordata; Actinopteri; Cypriniformes; Cyprinidae.